RNAcentral lists this ribosomal RNA (253 nucleotides) under uncultured bacterium. RNAcentral describes it as "partial 16S ribosomal RNA". It matches the Rfam family "Bacterial small subunit ribosomal RNA", at positions 524 to 776 of the family's 1533-position model. The record is from RNAcentral.
UACGAAGGGGGCUAGCGUUGUUCGGAUUUACUGGGCGUAAAGCGCGCGUAGGCGGAUCGCUAAGUCAGGGGUGAAAUCCCAAGGCUCAACCUUGGAAUUGCCUUUGAUACUGGCAAUCUGGAGUUCGGGAGAGGUGAGUGGAAUUCCGAGUGUAGAGGUGAAAUUCGUAGAUAUUCGGAGGAACACCAGAAGCGAAGGCGGCUCACUGGCCCGAUACUGACGCUGAGGCGCGAAAGCGUGGGGAGCGAACAGG